UAGGGAAUAUUGGACAAUGGGGCAACCCUGAUCCAGCCAUGCCGCGUGAGUGAAGAAGGCCCUCGGGUUGUAAAGCUCUUUUGUCCGGAAAGAAAAGCAUUCGGUGAAUACCCGGAUGUUCUGACGGUACCGGAAGCAUAAGCACCGGCUAACUUCGUGCCAGCAGCCGCGGUAAUACGAAGGGUGCAAGCGUUACUCGGAAUUACUGGGCGUAAAGCGUGCGUAGGUGGUUGUUUAAGUCUGAUGUGAAAGCCCUGGGCUCAACCCGGGAAUGGCAUUGGAAACUGGGCAGAUAAAGUGCGGUAGAGGGUAGUGGAAUUCCCGGUGUAGCAGUGAAAGGCGUAGAGAUCGGGAGGAACAUCUGUGGCGAAGGCGACUGCCUGGACCAGCACUGACGCUGAGGCACGAAAGCGUGG
This 416-nucleotide ribosomal RNA is filed under the name uncultured bacterium. RNAcentral's name for it is "bacterial SSU rRNA". It matches the Rfam family "Bacterial small subunit ribosomal RNA", at positions 355 to 764 of the family's 1533-position model. The record is from RNAcentral.